CCUACGGGCGGCUGCAGUAAGGAAUAUUGGUCAAUGGACGAAAGUCUGAACCAGCCAUGCCGCGUGGAGGAUGAAGGUCCUCUGGAUUGUAAACUUCUUUUAUAUGGGACGAAAAAAGGGUUUUCUAACUCGUCUGACGGUACCAUAUGAAUAAGCACCGGCUAACUCCGUGCCAGCAGCCGCGGUAAUACGGAGGGUGCAAGCGUUAUCCGGAUUCACUGGGUUUAAAGGGUGCGUAGGUGGGUUGGUAAGUCAGUGGUGAAAUCUCCGAGCUUAACUUGGAAACUGCCAUUGAUACUAUCAGUCUUGAAUAUUGUGGAGGUCAGCGGAAUAUGUCAUGUAGCGGUGAAAUGCUUAGAUAUGACAUAGAACACCAAUUGCGAAGGCAGCUGGCUACACAUCUAUUGACACUGAGGCACGAAAGCGUGGGGAUCAAACAGGAUUAGAUACCCGUGUAGUC
RNAcentral lists this ribosomal RNA (460 nucleotides) under uncultured Chitinophagaceae bacterium. Its description in RNAcentral is "bacterial SSU rRNA". It matches the Rfam family "Bacterial small subunit ribosomal RNA", at positions 338 to 795 of the family's 1533-position model. The record is from RNAcentral. Lineage: Bacteria; Pseudomonadati; Bacteroidota; Chitinophagia; Chitinophagales; Chitinophagaceae.